UACGAAGGGGGCUAGCGUUGCUCGGAAUCACUGGGCGUAAAGGGUGCGUAGGCGGGUCUUUAAGUCAGGGGUGAAAUCCUGGAGCUCAACUCCAGAACUGCCUUUGAUACUGAAGAUCUUGAGUUCGGGAGAGGUGAGUGGAACUGCGAGUGUAGAGGUGAAAUUCGUAGAUAUUCGCAAGAAUACCAGUGGCGAAGGCGGCUCACUGGCCCGAUACUGACGCUGAUGCACGAAAGCGUGGGGAGCAAACAGG
Molecule: ribosomal RNA, 253 nt
Filed under: uncultured bacterium
Lineage: Bacteria
Description: partial 16S ribosomal RNA
Rfam family: Bacterial small subunit ribosomal RNA
Source: RNAcentral